UGAGUUUGAGCUCCUGGGAGGAGAUUUUUGUUGCCUUGUAACUGGGAUUCCUAGAUCCAGCCUCCACCCUCUUAUUGCCCUGAGGAUGUUUUGGGGUUUGGUUUUGUUUUGUUUGUGUUUUUGUAGGAUGGUGGCAGUGAUUUUGAGGAGGGGAAGAGGAAGGAAGAUAUAAGCAAGGGAAGUCACAGGCUGCGGUGCCUAGGCAGACCCUGGUUUGAGUCUUGGCCUUCCCACUUUUUGCAUGUCAGUGGUAGGGGCAGCAGAUACCUCAGGACAUAUCUUGGGUUUUGUUUUUGUUUUGAGACAUAGUCUCACUCUGUUGCAGUGAGCCGAGAUGGCACCACUGCACUCCAGCCUGGGUAACAGAGCAAGACUCUGUAUUUA
Molecule: long non-coding RNA, 384 nt
Filed under: Pongo abelii (Sumatran orangutan)
Lineage: Eukaryota; Metazoa; Chordata; Mammalia; Primates; Hominidae
Description: lincRNA
Source: RNAcentral